This 45-nucleotide ribosomal RNA is filed under the name Thalassiosira antarctica. RNAcentral's name for it is "partial Archaeal large subunit ribosomal RNA". The record is from RNAcentral. Lineage: Eukaryota; Bacillariophyta; Thalassiosirophyceae; Thalassiosirales; Thalassiosiraceae.
UGGGCGGCCAUAGAGGGUGAGAGCCCCGUACACUUAAGAGGUGAA